This 406-nucleotide ribosomal RNA is filed under the name uncultured bacterium. Its description in RNAcentral is "partial 16S ribosomal RNA". It matches the Rfam family "Bacterial small subunit ribosomal RNA", at positions 29 to 526 of the family's 1533-position model. The record is from RNAcentral.
AUUGAACGCUGGCGGCAGGCCUAACACAUGCAAGUCGAGCGAGCGGCGGACGGGUGAGUAAUGUCUGGGAAACUGCCUGAUGGAGGGGGCUAACUACUGGAAACGGCAGCUAAUACCGCAUACCAUCAGAUGUGCCCAGAUGGGAUUCGCUCGUAGGUGUGGUAACGGCUCACAUAGGCGACGAUCCCUAGCGGGUCUGGGAGGAUGACCAGCGACACUGGAACUGAGACACAGUCCAGACUCCUACGGGAGGCAGCAGUGGGGAAUAUUUCGGAAUGGGCGCAAGCCUGAUGCAGGCAUGCCGCGUGUGGGAAGAAGGCCGUCGGGUUGUAAAGCACUUUCAGCGGGGAGGCGUUACCCGCAGAAGAAGCACCGGCUAACGCCGUGCCAGCAGGCGCGGUAAUAC